CCUACGGGUGGCAGCAGUGGGGAAUAUUGGACAAUGGGGGGAACCCUGAUCCAGCCAUGCCGCGUGUGUGAAGAAGGCCCUCGGGUUGUAAAGCACUUUCAGUGAGGAAGAACGCCUGGUGGUUAAUACCCAUCAGGAAAGACAUCACUCACAGAAGAAGCACCGGCUAACUCCGUGCCAGCAGCCGCGGUAAUACGGAGGGUGCGAGCGUUAAUCGGAAUUACUGGGCGUAAAGCGCGCGUAGGUGGCUUGAUAAGCCGGUUGUGAAAGCCCCGGGCUCAACCUGGGAACGGCAUCCGGAACUGUCAAGCUAGAGUGCAGGAGAGGAAGGUAGAAUUCCCGGUGUAGCGGUGAAAUGCGUAGAGAUCGGGAGGAAUACCAGUAGCGAAGGCGGCCUUCUGGACUGACACUGACACUGAGGUGCGAAAGCGUGGGUAGCAAACAGGAUUAGAUACCCUGGUAGUC
Molecule: ribosomal RNA, 465 nt
Filed under: Vreelandella stevensii
Lineage: Bacteria; Pseudomonadati; Pseudomonadota; Gammaproteobacteria; Oceanospirillales; Halomonadaceae
Description: partial 16S ribosomal RNA
Rfam family: Bacterial small subunit ribosomal RNA
Source: RNAcentral